RNAcentral lists this ribosomal RNA (497 nucleotides) under uncultured bacterium. RNAcentral describes it as "partial 16S ribosomal RNA". It matches the Rfam family "Bacterial small subunit ribosomal RNA", at positions 28 to 507 of the family's 1533-position model. The record is from RNAcentral.
GAUGAACGCUGGCGGCGUGCCUAAUACAUGCGAGUCGAGCGAACGGACGAGAAGCUUGCUUCUCUGAUGUUAGCGGCGGACGGGUGAGUAACACGUGGAUAACCUACCUAUAAGACUGGGAUAACUUCGGGAAACCGGAGCUAAUACCGGAUAAUAUUUUGAACCGCAUGGUUCAAAAGUGAAAGACGGUCUUGCUGUCACUUAUAGAUGGAUCCGCGCUGCAUUAGCUAGUUGGUAAGGUAACGGCUUACCAAGGCAACGAUGCAUAGCCGACCUGAGAGGGUGAUCGGCCACACUGGAACUGAGACACGGUCCAGACUCCUACGGGAGGCAGCAGUAGGGAAUCUUCCGCAAUGGGCGAAAGCCUGACGGAGCAACGCCGCGUGAGUGAUGAAGGUCUUCGGAUAGUAAAACUCUGUUAUUAGGGAAGAACAUAUGUGUAAGUAACUGUGCACAUCUUGACGGUACCUAAUCAGAAAGCCACGGCUAACUACGUG